Molecule: ribosomal RNA, 253 nt
Filed under: uncultured bacterium
Lineage: Bacteria
Description: partial 16S ribosomal RNA
Rfam family: Bacterial small subunit ribosomal RNA
Source: RNAcentral
UACGUAGGGGGCUAGCGUUGUCCGGAAUUAUUGGCGUAAAGAGCUCGUAGGCGGUUUGUCGCGUCGACUGUGAAAACCCGAGGCUUAACCUCGGGCCUGCAGUCGAUACGGGCAGACUAGAGUUCGGUAGGGGAGACUGGAAUUCCUGGUGUAGGCGGUGAAAUGCGCAGAUAUCAGGAGGAACACCGGUGGCGAAGGCGGGUCUCUGGGCCGAUACUGACGCUGAGGAGCGAAAGCGUGGGGAGCGAACAGG